Schistocerca piceifrons (Central American locust) is the source of this 3642-nucleotide long non-coding RNA. RefSeq lists it as uncharacterized. The transcript is spliced from 2 exons. Lineage: Eukaryota; Metazoa; Arthropoda; Insecta; Orthoptera; Acrididae. The record is from RefSeq and is a predicted model, not a curated record.
CGUCACGCGACUUAAGCUCUGCGCAUGAGCUUAAGCUCGCGGGUUAACUGCGCUAAAGGCUCGUUUUCGUUGGGACAACAACUUGUAACAUUGUAGCAUGCUACCGAAAAGUGUACGCCACAAAAGGCAACAUCUUGCGGCCUGUGUUGCAUGCGACAGGCCCACCAACGGGCAUACUAGGAGAUCUAGCAGCAGUUGAUGGUGCAUUAUUUAGUAAUUUUACGACAAUGUCUAGUGAAGACUUCAAUUAUGUUCUACAAUUAACUACACCUCUUACUCUAAAGAAAGAUACCUACUGGCAAGGCAGUGUUUCACCAAGAAAUCGAAUGGCCUUUGCAUUACGAUUAUUAGCCACUGGGGAUUCGUACAAGUCGCUAAUGUACUUAUUCAGAAUAUCACAUUCUGCCAUUUCCCUCUUACUGCUAGAAGUAUGUGAAACUACUUCAUCAGUUUUGAAGAAUUACGUAAAGAUAAGUAUACAACAUUCAAUACUCACUUUUUAAAUAAGUUUUUAUUUUCAGUUUUAAGUAAGUUAUAAUAAAAAUUAAAUAAUUGGUACAAAGUAUUUCACUUAUUUUUUAAACUGCAAAAAUUGAUGGAGCUCUUCUGAUGUACCCGGUACUUCAAUGAAUUCUUCACUCACACCAAUAUCAUUAUCAACGUAUAUAAUUUCGCAGUUAGCUUCUGGACAGCUUAUUUCUGCGCUGUUUUCCGAUACGACAACCGGUAAUGAUGCGAUGUUGGGACUUUGCUUAUCAUACUCCCCCCAACGCUGCUUUGAAUGGCACACGAUGUGCUUCGCAGACGUUUGUGUUGUCGGGGGAAAUUUUCUUAUCUCAUUGGCGAUGAACUCCCCAUACGCACUCCAUUCAUCUGUUGUUACCAGCUGGCCGGUGUGACCGUGCGGUUCUAGGCGCUUCAGUCUGGAACCGCGUGUCCGCUACGGUCGCAGGUUCGAAUCCUGCCUUGGGCAUGGAUGUGUGUGAUGUCCUUAGGUUGGUUGGGUUUAAGUAGUUCUAAGUUCUAGGGGACUGAUGACCAUAGAUGUUAAGUCCCAUAGCGCUCAGAGCCAUUUGAACCAUUUUUGUUGUUGUUACCAGUUUUUAAAAGCUGGUAAACUUCCUUAACUCAAGCAUCUCUUUCCAUUUCCUGACCUGUUCUUUUUAUGGGUUUAGUAAUUCUCUUUCUCUGUGUUUCCUCAUGAGAUGUAGUUGGUGUUUGGGGCACACAUUUUCUUCAUAAGGCUGACUUGAAUCUUCAUCUUUUGUUUGUGCCCUCUGUGUCGUCAUUCUGAAAAAUAGGUUAAAUAAUGAUAAUGUUUUACUUUUCAGAUUCUAAAGGACAUUGAAUGUUGCCAGAAAUUUUGAAGUGUGUAGGAGCCAUAGAUGACAAAACGUGCAAAUUAUAUGUCAUGCCAAUACUGGAAGUGAAUACAUUAACUAAAAAAAUACCAUCGUCUUUAUGGCGAUUGCAGACGCAAAUUAUUGGUUACGAUAUGUACAUGUUGGUUGUCAGGGCCGCAUAUCAGUUGGAGGAGUUUUUAAGAAUACUUCAUUUCAUAAAGCGUUAACGGAAAAUAAAUUAAACGUUCCUCCCCCAGAAUCUCUUCCAGGAGAAGAAAAUUUGGCUCCACUCUCACAAACUAAACUCUGCACCGUCGUGACGUCACACACGACAGCAACCUUACGUCACAGGUCAAAGCCGACGGGUGGAAUCGGACACUUCAGUUGACCCCUUUGAACACAGAAUUUUUUGCGGCGGGGAAGAUAAGUGUUUGCCAUUGUUUUCGUCGAUAUUGUAGAUCGUGCACUGAAUUGUAGAAGUAACUCAGCCAUAGGCUUUGGGCUAUUCUGAUGUCAAAGAGACGAAUAUCGGAACGCAAAAUUGUUGGAGAGAGAAUAGGGAAUGUAAGAAAUGUAAACAUUCUGAUAGGCAAGUAAGUUGAUCAGUGAAAAUGAUCGCAGUUAGAAUAUCCUAUUUUUUCGUAGAAUAUAAAUGUAUGUAAUUAAUUUAAUACUGUGACAUAUGAAUUAAAGCCACAAAUACAGUGUUGUACUGAUGAACGUCAUAAACUGCACAUUUGGUUUCAUAGCUGUGUGCAUACGAAAGGUAAACAGCUGUAUUGUAUGCAACUUAGUACUGUUGUAAUGAUUGUUGAAAGGCUUCUUCAAAGUUAAUUCUCAUUUGAAUAGUGUUCUUGAGCUUUAUUUUCAGUCACUAAAGUAUUAAACGAUGAAACUUGCUGAAAGCAGGAGGAGACAUGUAGCAAAACUGGAGAUACUAUGGGAAAUUUGCAUUUGGAACAAAAAAAAUGCUGAAGCAGCAAGUAAAGCUCUAUGUGAAUGACUCAGCUGGCACUAAGAGGAUUCGUAAAUAAAAUCAGUGUGUACUAAUUUCAUUCAUUAUUAUUAAUGAUAAGUACCAUUGUGGAGUAAAUGCUUCAGGAUGCAAAUAGAAUAAUUUGAGUUAGACUGGACAAUUUUAGGUCUUAGCUGUACUGCUUAAAAAGAAAAUGCUUUUAGGCAGAUUGAAUAAAAGUAUGCUCUCAGUCCUGUUUGUGGGCCAGUACAGUGAGAAAGACGUCUAAGCGCAAAGCAGGCAAUAACGACCUUUUUGGAUUGUACCAAAAAGACAAAUGUUCCAGCAGAAAUUAAGCAUCAUUCUAGAUAAUUUAGUCCUGAUUUCUUGCCAUUUGGCAAUCAUUGUAUCAUCACUAUUUACUACUUGAGGGUAAUGUAAGGCUAUUUGUACAGAAUCAGGUGCUGAUGCAACACCAAUCUGCUUUCACCUGUGAUGUCAUGGUGAGGCUGAUUGUGUUUGUAGAUGGUGUGUUGUAGUAUUUGGUGGUGCUCUCUUGAGCUGGAUGUUUGUUGGUGAGUUAUUUGACGUGAAUUGAAUGUUUCAGAUUGUAAUGGAAGAAUUUGUGCUGGUUUGGUGGUAAGUUACUUUGAACUUGAAUAUUGUGGCUGGUGGAUUCAUUAUCACGUUUGGAAAUAUUAGUGCCGCAUGUUUCUUAUGGUCAGAGAUUGCAUAUUAUUUUUCUUUUGUCUUCAGUUCUGACUAAGAUACAGAUACUUAUGAGUAUGUUUUUAUUCAUUGUAAACAACGAAGUUGUUUCUGUAUAUUGAAAUUGGUGUUGAUGGAGCCAAGUACUUCACAUGUUAUUUAUGUCUGUUUGCAGGUGUAAUGAGUGACAUUCUGGUCACCAUAUUGAAUGUGCUUGAAAUAGAAGUGUACACCACAUUGAUGACAUUACUGGUGAAAAUAGAAACAUAUCACAAAUCCAGUACCACACCAGAAUGACUACAGGAUUGCAAUACCAAAUGUUCUCUACCACUACCCUAUAUUUUAUGGGAUGGUUACGAAUGAGAGGCCAUGGCCAACACCCAAGAUCAAUAUUUGAUAUUUUACCAUCUGUGCCAAAUUAAUGUGUCUGGUAAUAUAUUAAUGUUAUGACACUGUCACUAGUAGUGUCAAAGGUACACUUUCCAAAACAAAUGGUUCACAUUGCACUGUGAAAACCUGCUGUCAUAAAAUGUUUAUUGAAGUGGAUGACACUUGUCUCUCGUGUGUUGGUGCUACUGUUGUAACGAAUGUGUUCAAAGCAGCUGCAGUAAAAUAAAUUUGUUUAUUGCAAAAGGA